AUUGAACGCUGGCGGCAUGCCUUACACAUGCAAGUCGAACGGCAGCACGGGAGCAAUCCUGGUGGCGAGUGGCGAACGGGUGAGUAAUAUAUCGGAACGUGCCCAGUCGUGGGGGAUAACGUAGCGAAAGCUACGCUAAUACCGCAUACGAUCUAAGGAUGAAAGCGGGGGAUCGCAAGACCUCGCGCGAUUGGAGCGGCCGAUAUCAGAUUAGGUAGUUGGUGGGGUAAAGGCUCACCAAGCCAACGAUCUGUAGCUGGUCUGAGAGGACGACCAGCCACACUGGAACUGAGACACGGUCCAGACUCCUACGGGAGGCAGCAGUGGGGAAUUUUGGACAAUGGGCGAAAGCCUGAUCCAGCCAUGCCGCGUGUGUGAAGAAGGUCUUCGGAUUGUAAAGCACUUUAAGUUGGGAGGAAGGGUAGUAACCUAAUACGUUGCUACUUUGACGUUACCGACAGAAUAAGACACCGGCGUAACUUCGUGCCAGCA
Molecule: ribosomal RNA, 492 nt
Filed under: uncultured bacterium
Lineage: Bacteria
Description: bacterial SSU rRNA
Rfam family: Bacterial small subunit ribosomal RNA
Source: RNAcentral